Molecule: non-coding RNA, 436 nt
Organism: Pelobates cultripes (western spadefoot toad)
Lineage: Eukaryota; Metazoa; Chordata; Amphibia; Anura; Pelobatidae
Source: the annotation of a GenBank genome assembly
AGGUGAAGCUGGCAUUGCAUAUGUCAUGGUAUAGCAGGUUGUGGUGAGCUUGGAACGGAGAACAUGUGGUAUGGUACGUUGGAGUGACAUUGACACUGUGUAUGUUGUGGUAUAGGAAGUUGAGGUGAGCCUGGCACUGUGCACAUAUUGUCGUUAAGCUGGUUGUUGUGAGCUUGGCACUGUGUACAUGUGGUAUGGCACGUUGGAGUGACAUUGACACUGUGUAUGUUGUGGCAUAGCAAGGUGGGGUGAGCCUGGCACUGUGUAAAUAUUGUUGUUAAGCUGGUUGUGGUGAGCCUGGCACUAUGUACAUGUAGUAUGGCAGGUUGUGGUGAGCCUGGCACUUUGUACAUAUUGUCAUUAAGCUUGUUGUGGUGAGCCUGGCACUGUGUACAUGUCGUAUACCAAGUUGGUGCGAGCCUGGCGCUGUGUGUAC